AGAAUCAACGCUGGCGGCGUGCCUAACACAUGCAAGUCGAACGAGAAAGUGGGAGCAAUCCCACGAGUAAAGUGGCGCACGGGUGAGUAACACGUGACUAACCUACCCUUGAGUGGGGGAUAACCUAGGGAAACCUGGGCUAAUACCGCAUAAUACCUACGGGUCAAAGGAGCAAUUCGCUUAAGGAGGGGGUCGCGGCCGAUUAGUUAGUUGGCGGGGUAAUGGCCCACCAAGACGAUGAUCGGUAUCC
RNAcentral lists this ribosomal RNA (250 nucleotides) under uncultured bacterium. RNAcentral's name for it is "partial small subunit ribosomal RNA". It matches the Rfam family "Bacterial small subunit ribosomal RNA", at positions 26 to 288 of the family's 1533-position model. The record is from RNAcentral.